UCUGCUGUGACAUUUUGUUCAGUGCUGCCGAGGAUUUUGUGAGGGAGGCACCCCAUUUUGCAGAGGGAAGGGAGCCUGUGGGGACCACAGCAGUGAAUAUGAAAGCCUAGAGCGCAGUCUGCCUCUCUCUGGUACCAAAGCCUGUAAUUGUCACUUCCAUACUCUCCAUAAGACACGUUCAUACGUUCAACCGAACAUUUAUUGAGCACCUGCUAUGUGCUAAGGGUAGAGCAGUAAAUGAAUCAAGCAAAAAUUCUUUACAUUUCACUGGGGCUGACAAACCCAAACAAGGAAGAGGUGUAGUGCUUCAGAGAAAACAGCAGGAAACAGCCCAGGGAAUGCUGGGGAGUGUAAUUUUAAAUAGGGUGGCCAGGGAAGGCGGAGCUGGAAGGCGGCAUCUGAGAAUAAACCUGAGAUGGUGAGGAGGAGCCCUGUGGAUACUGAAGGAAACACUCUGGGCUGUUCUGGAGGAGCAGCAGGUACAAAGGCCCCGGGGGUGGGAGUUAAGCUGGUGUGUUUGAAGAACAGUGAGGAGAUAACAGGCAUUUCCCCAAAUGCGUUGAAUGGGUCGGUAGACAGUUGGCAUCAAAAAGGUUCCAAGGUCGAAUAGCCUGGGACAUGCUUAGUUAAGGCAAGGCAAACACAUUGCUUUACUACAAGACUUCUGGGAGCCUUCAGCAUGCUGCUGUUCAUCAGGACCCUUCAAGGCUGGAAGGAAAGAAAGGACCUAGCAUUUCCCAAACAUAUUUAUCUCAGAGCUCACACCUCCUGGAGUAUCUUGGGUGGGGGAUGAACGCUGGGCAGGAAAUGGGUAUGCUAAGUAAAGCUUUGGAGAUGGUUAGCGGGCCCACACCAGAUCAGGUGCUGAGGGCCGUUAGAGUCUAAACCAGAUUCAAGCACAAUCUUAGUAUGACAGUUGGGAAGACAGAUGGCUCAUGGAGGUCCAUGUGAUAGGGAAGCUGGGCAACCCCAGGGGCUCAUCCCAGCCUGGACUUGACACUUUGGUCUCUGUUUUUACCUAAAAGAGCCAGAAGUGCUAUCAUGAAAAUAUCUUUGGUGCUGUAUUUCCCUACAAGCAGACAAGGCAGCAGUGCAGCCCAGGAGCCUGGAGAUGUCAGCGCUCUGAUGGCCCAUAGGAGGGGUUAAAGCUGCCGGCACAGAACUUAACCACGGAGCCAGCUCUGCAUUAUCCGAGGUCACAGGGCCUGGGGAGAUGGAGGAAAGUGAUAUCCCCCAGCCUCACAUCUUAUUUUUUCACUUCAUUCCCCAUCAAGCCCUUUACUUGACCUCCUACCAAGUAGCACCCUGGAUUGAUCGGAGCCUCCUCUCUCAAGCUGGGGCCUUCCUGGUCCCUUGGAGACGAAAUCUUCAACGCCAGGCCUGGCAAAUGGGUGAAAGAUGGAACCCGCUGCUGAGUGCACCACUUCAAGUGACCACCAGGAGCAGCAGAGUCUCAGGUGGCAGGAUAAGGUGUAGUGUCAACCUCAGGCUCCAGAAAAGCUCUGUGCCCUGCGCGACAGCCGUGCAUCUCAGCAACACAGCCAGGAGUCCGCUCCCGGACCAGGCUUCUCAGGUUUGUGGUGGUGGUGGUGGUGGUGUUGUUUUGUUUUGUUUUGUUUUGUUUUUAAUUUUGAGAUGGAAUUUCACUCUUGUCACCCAGGCUGGAGUGCAAUGGCGCAUUAUUGGCUCAAUGCAACAUCUGCCUCCUGGGUUCAAGCGAUUCUCCCCCCUCAGCCUCCCGAGUAGCUGGGAUUACAGGUGCCCGCCACCAUACCCGGCUAAUUUUUUUUAUUAUUAUUUUUAGUAGAGACGGGGUUUUGUCAUGUUAGCCAGGCUGGUCACAAACUCCAGACCUCAGAUGAUCUGCCUGCCUCGGCCUCCCAAAGUGCUGGGAUUACAGGCGUGAGCCACCAUGCCCAGCCGGCUUCUCAGCUUUAAUGUGUGUGUCUCACCUGGGAUGUUGUGAAAACGAAGGCUCUGAUCUCUCAGGACACUGGGAAAGGAGCCAGUCCCCUGAAGAGAACACUCUGGUCAGUUGGUGGAGGCCAGUGGGAAGCCAUCAGACCUGCUUUCCAGGAGGGGUGAAGGGUUGGUGCAGGGUGCAAGGGUGGCUGUAGCCAGAAGCAGGACCAGA
This 2134-nucleotide long non-coding RNA is filed under the name Pan troglodytes (chimpanzee). RNAcentral describes it as "long non-coding RNA NONPTRT006788". Lineage: Eukaryota; Metazoa; Chordata; Mammalia; Primates; Hominidae. The record is from RNAcentral.